UUAGGAAUCUUCCACAAUGGGCGAAAGCCUGAUGGAGCGACGCCGCGUGAGGGAUGAAGGCCUUAGGGUUGUAAACCUCUAAAAGAGGGACGAUAAUGACGGUACCUCUUGAAUAGCACCGGCUAACUCCGUGCCAGCAGCCGCGGUAAUACGGAGGGUGCAAGCGUUAUCCGGAAUCACUGGGCGUAAAGGGCGCGUAGGCGGUCUGUUAAGUCCGAUGUUAAAUCCCGGGGCUCAACCCCGGAUCAGCGUUGGAUACUGGCAGGCUAGACGGUUGGAGAGGCGAGUGGAAUUACCAGUGUAGCGGUGAAAUGCGUAGAUACUGGUAGGAACACCCAUUGCGAAGGCAGCUCGCUGGACAACACGUGACGCUGAGGCGCGAAAGUGUGGGGAGCAAACC
RNAcentral lists this ribosomal RNA (400 nucleotides) under uncultured bacterium. RNAcentral describes it as "bacterial SSU rRNA". It matches the Rfam family "Bacterial small subunit ribosomal RNA", at positions 355 to 774 of the family's 1533-position model. The record is from RNAcentral.